Molecule: long non-coding RNA, 1907 nt
Organism: Nannospalax galili (Upper Galilee mountains blind mole rat)
Lineage: Eukaryota; Metazoa; Chordata; Mammalia; Rodentia; Spalacidae
Source: Ensembl
AUGGUUGACACUCGGGGCCCCUGGGGCUGUGGGCUGCUGCUGUUCCGAGCUGGAGCUGAGGCCUCUUGCCAGAAGGGAGAGCGCGUACUGCUUGCCCAGUACCUGGGGCAGCUGGGCCUCGAGUGGCCUCCUCUGCAUCUCAUCUGCACCCAGUUCUCAAUCUACCUGAUGGAUGAACGCCUCCCCAUGGUGCCAAUGCUCAAGUGGGACCAUGGCCUGCCCUCUGCACCCCUGCUGGCCCGCCUUCUGCCCCCAGCUGCCCCUGGCUGCCCAGUGCCCCUGCUGCUGGGGGGUCAGGGUGGGCAGCUUCAGCUGUUGCACAUAGCAGGAGCUGAGUCCUCCAUGCCCCGACUGGCGGGACCCCCCAAGUCUCUGCCCUCCAUCACUGACUCCCUCUCCGCAUUUCCCCCACUGGAACCCAAGAACCAGCAGCAGCUGCAGGAACGCCUGGAGGCACCCGUCAUAGGUCUGGCUGCUGCCCCACCCUGUGCCUCUGCUCAGCUGCUGUCAGUCUUCCAACUUUCUGCCGCUGGGGACGUCUUCUACCAGCAGCUCCAACCAGCCUCCAGCCUCGGAGGAGGAUGCCCACCCAUCCUCCCAGCAGAUUGCUCUGCACAUGGGGCAGCUGCUGUGGAUCAGGUGCCCACAUCCUCCUGGACCCCCAAGGACAACGCCUGCUGCAGCCGCUGGCUGGAGACCCUCCUGCACCUGCCUCCCACUCCCCCUGUGUGGGCUGCCCCCACCUUCUCCCACCGCAGGCUUCUAGGCCACAUGGAGCUACAGAAGAGCCAGGGGACCAUGUCACAGAGGCUCCGAGCAGCAAUGGCCAGGGGGCAGCUCCUGCGACCAGAGGACCUGGGCACACGCCCCAUGGCAGAGCCACCCCCGGCACCUGAGUGCAGCCAGCAGGAUGAGCUAACAGAGCGCCUGACGGAAGCCUGGGCAGGCCGGGCAGCUGCCUGGUGGGAGGGGCAGCGGGGCCGGACCUCGGGGCCCCAGACACAGGCCAAGCGGCCCAAGCGCCGGACUCAGCUGUCCAGCACCUUCUCCUCGCUUAAAAGCCACUUGGACCACCCAGAUACCAGCAGCCCCCCUCAGAGCCCAGACUGGGUGACCACUGAGGCCAGGCCUCGGCCCCCAGGCACUCCGCCUUCUCAGGAGUCAACUCAGGAGCUAUGGGCCCAGCGAGUGCGACGGGAGCGGCGACAGACUGUCCGAGACUUCAUGGCCAAGCUGCCACUUCAGAAGGACACACCAGGAUGUGUGGGCACACCCCCCUCCCAGGCCUCCAGCCUCCAGGUUACCCCCUCCCAGCAGCAGACCCCUGCCCUCUCUGGCUCCCAGCCUCCCCGGAAGAAGCCACGCAUGGGCUUCUGAGAGAGUGGGGGGGCCAUGCCUGCCACCUGGGCUUAGCCAACAGGUCUCCGGGACAGAGCCUCUGCCUCCCGAAAGCCAGCGCGCACUUGGGGACCCAAAACCAGUUUGAAGCCAUGCUGAAGGACUAGCACAAAAAUGUCACCUGUGUUUUGUAUAUCCGUCUGCAGGUGACGCCAAGGCCAGCCACAGAUGGUGCCUCAGUGUCACUGCUGGGACUCUAGGCGACAGUGUGGGCUGGAAAGCUGGGCCUGGGUCAGCAUUUGCCUCCCACCCUGACAGGAAGCUGCUGGGUGUGGGCAGCAGCAGCUCUUGUGGGUCUGUGAAGCAGUCCACGUGGGAGCCAGUGUUUCAUAGCACAGAACGCCUUGGCAGCUCCCAGUUCAGGAUCUGAAUAAACCUGUCCACGCUCUGUGUCUAAUGCACGAAACCCCCCUGUCCACUCUGGGGAAGCACUCAAGAUGCCACAGUUGGGGUGUGUGGGGUUCUGAUAACAUCAGGGCUACCCACUUGCCAGUCCAGUAAUACUCUGA